GACGAACGCUGGCGGCGUGCCUAACACAUGCAAGUCGAGCGAAUGAGGUUCCUUCGGGAAUGGAUUUAGCGGCGGACGGGUGAGUAACACGUGGGCAACCUGCCUCAUAGAGGGGAAUAGCCUUCCGAAAGGGAGAUUAAUACCGCAUAAGAUUGUAGUAUCGCAUGAUACAGCAAUUAAAGGAGCAAUCCGCUAUGAGAUGGGCCCGCGGCGCAUUAGCUAGUUGGUGAGGUAACGGCUCACCAAGGCGACGAUGCGUAGCCGACCUGAGAGGGUGAUCGGCCACAUUGGGACUGAGACACGGCCCAGACUCCUACGGGAGGCAGCAGUGGGGAAUAUUGCACAAUGGGGGAAACCCUGAUGCAGCAACGCCGCGUGAGUGAUGACGGCCUUCGGGUUGUAAAGCUCUGUCUUCAGGGACGAUAAUGACGGUACCUGAGGAGGAAGCCACGGCUAACUACGUG
This 464-nucleotide ribosomal RNA is filed under the name uncultured bacterium. RNAcentral describes it as "partial 16S ribosomal RNA". It matches the Rfam family "Bacterial small subunit ribosomal RNA", at positions 28 to 507 of the family's 1533-position model. The record is from RNAcentral.